CCUACGGGCGGCAGCAGUGGGGAAUAUUGCGCAAUGGGCGAAAGCCUGACGCAGCGACGCCGCGUGAGGGAUGAAGGUCUUCGGAUCGUAAACCUCUGUCAGCAGGGAAGAACGGUCACUGUGCUAAUCAUCAGUGAAUUGACGGUACCUGUAAAGGAAGCCCCGGCUAACUCCGUGCCAGCAGCCGCGGUAAUACGGAGGGUGCGAGCGUUAAUCGGAGUUAUUGGGCGUAAAGGGAGCGUAGGCGGUAUGUCAAGUCAAGGGUGAAAUCCCGGGGCUCAACCGUGGAACUGCAGUUGAAACUGGCAAACUGGAGUGUGGGAGAGGUAGGCGGAAUUCGAGGUGUAGGGGUGAAAUGCGUAGAUAUCAGGAGGAACAUCAGUGGCGAAGGCGGCUAACUGGACCGUAACUGACGCUGAGGAGCGAAAGCGUGGGUAGCAAACAGGAUUAGAUACCCUAGUAGUC
This 465-nucleotide ribosomal RNA is filed under the name uncultured bacterium. RNAcentral's name for it is "partial 16S ribosomal RNA". It matches the Rfam family "Bacterial small subunit ribosomal RNA", at positions 338 to 795 of the family's 1533-position model. The record is from RNAcentral.